RNAcentral lists this ribosomal RNA (253 nucleotides) under uncultured bacterium. RNAcentral's name for it is "partial 16S ribosomal RNA". It matches the Rfam family "Bacterial small subunit ribosomal RNA", at positions 524 to 776 of the family's 1533-position model. The record is from RNAcentral.
UACGUAUGGUGCAAGCGUUAUCCGGAAUGACUGGGUGUAAAGGGAGCGUAGACGGUUAUACAAGUCUGAUGUGAAAGCCCACGGCUCAACUGUGGGAGUGCAUUGGAAACUGUAGAACUAGAGUAUCGGAGAGGCAAGUGGAAUUCCUAGUGUAGCGGUGAAAUGCGUAGAUAUUAGGAGGAACACCAGUGGCGAAGGCGGCUUGCUGGACGAAAACUGACGUUGAGGCUCGAAAGCGUGGGGAGCAAACAGG